CUGGUGAGUUCCGGUGUCUAGGAGUCUUAUAAUCACGGUUCCGCUAGGCUGUGGUGAAGAGAUUCGUUUCUUCCUGACAGCCUUAAUGUUCAGAUGAGAAAGAUGAGGGUCCUAGAGGAAGAGGUUUCUCAUAUUCACUCAGCAAGAAACUCCCGAGACCAGCGCGCUUUCCACAUGACUCCUCUGAGCGUAGGACUAUCCUUGAGGUGGGCGUGGGUAGGUUUCCCCUUGAGGAGUUCCCGAGGCUGAUCUCGCAGAAAUGUCCCCAUUCCACAAAUGGAAGAAAGGAAAGCUCGAGAGGGACGUCCGGCAUAAGGAACUUUCCAGGGCAAGGUUACCAGAUUUAGCAAAUAAAAUGCAGGACUCCCGGUUAAAGUUGAAUUUCAAAUAAACGACGAGUAAUGCCUUAUCAUAAGAAUACCUCAAGUAUCUGAAUUCAAAUUUAGCUGUGUGUUCAGAAUUUUAUCGGGUGGUCCUACCCAGGGUCACCUAGGGUAGCCAUUGAGGUAUCCUGUAUGCCUAUGUAUGUCCCUCGGCUUAGGUCUCACCAAGUGUGGAGCUGGGUUCUUCCCAAGAAUUACCCUGAGGUUAUUUUCAGCUCCCCUCACCCCCCAGCUCCUUCCAAUGGUCACUGCACGUUCUAGGGCCACUCAGGAGCUAAGCAGAAGGGGCAAGAUGCCCCUCCUUGGAAUUCAGGGGUAUCCUCCAUCCUCUGAGCUAGUUUAAAAGACUAGUCAAAAACACUAAGGAACUGAAAUGUGAGAAAGGGGCAUGAGAUGAAGUCAGUGAUUUAGACAAGGGUCUCCGGCAAUUCAGCUUUUAUUGGCAUCCCUGUGGGAAUCAGCUGAAGGGUUUUCAGAAGAGGACUACCAAGAUUGAAUUUGUUUUUCACAAAGACCCUUGGACCACCAAGAGGUCAGAACAAAUCAUCUUAUAGGGCUUUAGCUGCUCAUCCCAUAGAUGCCAGAAAGGACUUAAAAGCAGCAAAGGGAGGAUAAAACCCCCAUGCUAUUGCCUCUCCUGUGGUCACUUUACAACUGGAAGGGCUGGCAUGGACAGGGUUUCCAGGAAGUGGGGUGGGGGAAAUGGCUCCCAUGGAGAGAUUAACCUAUUUCUGUGUCCCUCCUGAGCAGGGGCAGACAGAGAUGACAACCUAUCUCCCUCUGUUCCCAUGGGCUAAGCCUGCCUUUCCCAGGGUGGGUGCAGGGUAAAGGAGGUAUGUGCUAACACCAGUCCAUCAUUUCUUCUGUCCCUAUACCUUUUGUUACUCUUUCAUUUAUCUUCCCAAAGGUCCUGUCAUGCUUGUGUUUCAGAAGCAUACAAGGCUUCCUACUUCAGAAUUGGCUUUCUGUUUCAAGGCCCUCAAUGAGUCUACUGCAUUGAGCUCCUUAAAGACUGAGGGACUCAACUCUGCAUCACAGUAUCAACCACAAGGCCCC
This 1439-nucleotide long non-coding RNA is filed under the name Marmota monax (woodchuck). The record is from RNAcentral. Lineage: Eukaryota; Metazoa; Chordata; Mammalia; Rodentia; Sciuridae.